Molecule: long non-coding RNA, 1382 nt
Organism: Amphibalanus amphitrite
Lineage: Eukaryota; Metazoa; Arthropoda; Thecostraca; Balanomorpha; Balanidae
Exons: 4
Source: RefSeq, a predicted model, not a curated record
GGUUGGUUGGUGAGUUCAUUGAAAAGUUGAACAUUGCUCAACUUUCUAACGUUUUUGCAAGUUUCUGUCGUGAGCUCCUUGCAAUAUUUAAUAGUGAAUGCAAGACUUUCAUUGAUUUUUGGAAGCAUAUAUGAUGCGGUGGACAGAAGAAGCAGAAGAGCUGUUGAUUGAAACGGUAAAAAAAAUAUGAAUGGUUAUACAACCAACAGCACGCUUCGUACAAGGAUAUUAAGAAAAAAGAAAAUUCAUGGAGAGAGAUCGCAGCCUUCAUCGCUCCAGACAUCCCUGAUAAUGCGAAGGUAGUGAGCCAUCGCUGGUCGCAACUACGAGACAAGUACCGCCGGUACCGGCCUACUCGAGUGCCAAGUGGUGGAAGCCGCGAUGACGCCGACAAGGCGUCGAAGAAGGCUAGAAAUUGGGCGCUAUUUCCUCUCAUGCAUCAGCUUCUGGACAAGCACACUGGACAAUAUAGACGUGCUGGAGACAGCUUCAACGCUCAGAACUCUUCGCAGCAGAGCCAAGCAGCCUCCCAGCUGAGUCAGGUGCCGUCCUCAGUGCCUAUAGGAGACGUUGCGUCUUUAUCAGAGGCAUCGGUAAACACGAUAAUGUGGGCGGUCGAGAACACGGCAAUCACCAAUGUCUUCCAAUCUGCACCCCCUGGCCAUGCUUCCUCGCCCGUAGCCGGCCCGUCGGCUCCUGGUGAGAAAAGCUGCACCCAGUCACCCCCUGGCCAUGCUUCCUCGCCCGUAGCCGGCCCGUCGGCUCCUGGUGAGAAAAGCUGCGCCCAGUCACCCCCUAGGCAUGCUUCCUCGCCCGUAGCCGGCCCGUCGGCUCCUGGUGAGGAAAGCUGCACCCAGUCACCCCCUAGGCAUGCUUCCUCGCCCGUGGCCGGCCCAAACCGAGGAUCGAAGAGAUCAGCGCAGUCGCCCAGGGCCGCCAGAUGUAGCAGUGGCAACAGCCGUUUCAAGCACCGUCCGACUAAUGAAACUGACUGGCAAAAUCGCCUCGUGAACCACUUGUCCAACCAAAAAGAGGAAGACGAGUUUGAUAUGUUUUGCCGGCAUCUGGCGAUAGUUAUGCGUCGGAUUCGGAGACAAGAUGCAUACUACUUCAUGACAGUCAACCUUCAAAUGAUGAAGGAGUUUGACUGCCGUGAGUAAACAACGGGAAUGGGACACGUAGUGUAUAAUUGUGUGGGUAAUUAUCAUUUGCGUGUUAAGUUCCAUUCACCUUGUUUGAGCAACUGGCAGUGCCAGAUGUUCGAGGCAGAUAGCUAUGCGAUUCAUUCAAGAACCGAUCAUUUCAAGCGAAACGAUCAAGUUAAAUACGUGUUAUAGUGUUCUUAUUUCUAUGUGUUGUUAAAUACAUGUUUAACAGUUCAA